GACGUAGGGGGCCAGCGUUGCUCGGAAUUACUGGGCGUAAAGGGUCCGUAGGCGGUGCGGUAAGUCGGGAGUGAGAUCUCUGGGCUUAACUCAGAGGCUGCUUCCGAAACUACCGUGCUAGAGUGCGAGAGAGGCAAGUGGAAUUGCGGGUGUAGCGGUGAAAUGCGUAGAUAUCCGCAGGAACAUCCGAGGCGAAAGCGGCUUGCUGGAUCGCAACUGACGCUGAGGGACGAAAGCUAGGGGAGCAAACAGG
RNAcentral lists this ribosomal RNA (253 nucleotides) under uncultured bacterium. RNAcentral describes it as "partial 16S ribosomal RNA". It matches the Rfam family "Bacterial small subunit ribosomal RNA", at positions 524 to 776 of the family's 1533-position model. The record is from RNAcentral.